Molecule: ribosomal RNA, 472 nt
Filed under: uncultured bacterium
Lineage: Bacteria
Description: bacterial SSU rRNA
Rfam family: Bacterial small subunit ribosomal RNA
Source: RNAcentral
GACGAAUGCUGGCGGCGUGCUUAACACAUGCAAGUCGAACGAGAGGACAAGAGAAGCUUGCUUCUUUUGGAAUCGAGUGGCAAACGGGUGAGUAACACGUAAACAACCUGCCUUCAGGAUGGGGACAACAGACGGAAAUGACUGCUAAUACCGCAUAAGACCACAGCACCGCAUGGUGCAGGGGUAAAAACUCCGGUGGUACAGGAUGGACCCGCGUCUGAUUAGCUGGUUGGUGAGGUAACGGCUCACCAAGGCGACGAUCAGUAGCCGGCUUGAGAGAGUGAACGGCCACAUUGGGACUGAGACACGGCCCAGACUCCUACGGGAGGCAGCAGUGGGGAAUAUUGGGCAAUGGGCGCAAGCCUGACCCAGCAACGCCGCGUGAAGGAAGAAGGCUUUCGGGUUGUAAACUUCUUUUGUCAGGGACGAGCAGAAGACGGUACCUGACGAAUAAGCCACGGCUAACUACGUG